Molecule: non-coding RNA, 281 nt
Filed under: Paraburkholderia xenovorans
Lineage: Bacteria; Pseudomonadati; Pseudomonadota; Betaproteobacteria; Burkholderiales; Burkholderiaceae
Also listed under: 1 other name
Source: RNAcentral
UACACUCGCACGCACUUUGGUGCUCGCGUGCCCGCUCGUGCGCAUGCAGUUAAACGGGAAACAGGGUGCCCGCCUGUCAUGGAUCGGGUCAACCUGUGCUGCCCCCGCAACGGUAAGCGAAAUGUGGUGCUAAGGUCAGUUCUUUAGCGCCGCGGAGCCGGCUUCGAUGUCCACGCGCAAGGCCGCGCGGGCAUGUCACCACUGGGCGAGAAAUCACUCGCCCGGGAAGGGGAAGCGGCGCUUUCGCCAGCCCGGAUACCGGCCAGAUACGAAGAAUGAAC